RNAcentral lists this ribosomal RNA (253 nucleotides) under uncultured bacterium. Its description in RNAcentral is "partial 16S ribosomal RNA". It matches the Rfam family "Bacterial small subunit ribosomal RNA", at positions 524 to 776 of the family's 1533-position model. The record is from RNAcentral.
UACGUAGGUGGCGAACGUUGUCCGGAUUCACUGGGCGUAAAGCGCGCGCAGGCGGACCGGUAAGUCUGAGGUGAAAGCUCCCGGCUCAACUGGGAGAAGCCCUUGGAUACUGCUGGUCUUGAGACACUUAGAGGAGAGUGGAAUUCCCGGUGUAGUGGUGGAAUGCGUAGAUAUCGGGAGGAACACCAGUGGCGAAAGCGACUCUCUGGGAGUGAUCUGACGCUGAGGCGCGAAAGCGUGGGGAGCAAACCGG